RNAcentral lists this ribosomal RNA (235 nucleotides) under uncultured bacterium. RNAcentral's name for it is "partial 16S ribosomal RNA". It matches the Rfam family "Bacterial small subunit ribosomal RNA", at positions 15 to 240 of the family's 1533-position model. The record is from RNAcentral.
GAUCAUGGCUCAGGAUGAACGCUAGCUACAGGCUUAACACAUGCAAGUCGAGGGGCAGCGGGAUUGAAGCUUGCUUCAAUCGCCGGCGACCGGCGCACGGGUGAGUAACGCGUAUCCAACCUUCCGUACACUCAGGGAUAGCCUUUCGAAAGAAAGAUUAAUACCUGAUGGUAUCUUAAGCACACAUGUAAUUAAGAUUAAAGAUUACAUCGGUGUACGAUGGGGAUGCGUUCCA